This 621-nucleotide ribosomal RNA is filed under the name uncultured bacterium. Its description in RNAcentral is "bacterial SSU rRNA". It matches the Rfam family "Bacterial small subunit ribosomal RNA", at positions 36 to 690 of the family's 1533-position model. The record is from RNAcentral.
CUGGCGGCGUGCUAACACAUGCAAGUCGAACGAGAAAGUGGAGCAAUUCAUGAGUAAAGUGGCGACCGGGUGAGUAACACGUGACUAACCUACCUCCGAGUGGGGAAUAACUCCGGGAAACCGGGGCUAAUACCGCAUAACAUCGCAAGAUCAAAGCAGCAAUGCGCUUGGAGAGGGGGUCGCGGCUGAUUAGCUAGUUGGCGGGGUAACAGCCCACCAAGGCGAAGAUCGGUAUCCGGCCUGAGAGGGCGCACGGACACACUGGAACUGAAACACGGUCCAGACUCCUACGGGAGGCAGCAGUGGGGAAUUUUGCGCAAUGGGGGAAACCCUGACGCAGCAACGCCGCGUGGAGGAUGAAGCCCUUUGGGGCGUAAACUCCUUUCGACUCGGACGAUAAUGACGGUACGAGUGGAAGAAGCACCGGCUAACUCUGUGCCAGCAGCCGCGGUAAUACAGAGGGUGCGAGCGUUGUUCGGAAUUAUUGGGCGUAAAGGGCGCGUANGCGGUGCGGUAAGUCACCUGUGAAAUCUCCUGGCUUAACUGGGAGUCUGCAGGCGAAACUACCGUGCUGGAGUGUGGGAGAGGUGCGUGGAAUUCCCGGUGUAGCGGUGAAAUGCG